UCCUGAUGUGUGUCGAGUCUGCUGUCUGUACCGCAGCAGGACACCGUUUUAAUCCCAUUAUAACUGCUGCAAUGAACGUGCAUGUGAAACUCUUCACGACACUCUUUUCAACCCGGCUGUUUGGACAUGUACAGUCGGUGAAACC
Molecule: long non-coding RNA, 145 nt
Organism: Thalassophryne amazonica
Lineage: Eukaryota; Metazoa; Chordata; Actinopteri; Batrachoidiformes; Batrachoididae
Exons: 3
Source: RefSeq, a predicted model, not a curated record